RNAcentral lists this ribosomal RNA (253 nucleotides) under uncultured bacterium. RNAcentral's name for it is "partial 16S ribosomal RNA". It matches the Rfam family "Bacterial small subunit ribosomal RNA", at positions 524 to 776 of the family's 1533-position model. The record is from RNAcentral.
UACGUAGGGGGCAAGCGUUGUCCGGAUUUAUUGGGCGUAAAGAGCGUGUAGGCGGCUUGGCAAGUCCGCUGUGAAAACUCGAGGCUCAACCUCGAGACGUCGGUGGAAACUGCCUGGCUGGAGUCCGGAAGAGGAGAGUGGAAUUCCUGGUGUAGCGGUGAAAUGCGCAGAUAUCAGGAAGAACACCAAUAGCGAAGGCAGCUCGCUGGGACGGUACUGACGCUGAGGCGCGAAAGCGUGGGGAGCGAACAGG